CAAGAGGUCAGGGUCCUGGAAGUCAGAGCCAAGUCACAUCUGCUGGAGAGAGAGUCAGAGCUGGAGGUUGCAGAAGAAGGAAGAGUCUGGAAGUCUGCUAGAGUGAGUCCAGGAAAACAGAGAGUGAGCAGCCAGCAAGAUGACAUAAAGUAAAGGUGAAAGGCUGUUGUACUGGACCCAGCUUUCCCGAAGUCCACUUUGGUAAAGCAGUAAAAAGGUUAAUGGACAUGACCCCCAUUGGUGGUGAAAGGAAUCUUUUCCUUUACAAUUUUCCCAGCACUUUGAAGACCGACCGGGAUUUGACUCUGCGAGCAUAUUCGGAGCAAGAAGCCAAUGAAUGAAUGAAAAGAAAGGAUAUUCCAUUGAAUUACUGGGAAAACAAAGAGGAGCUCAGUGUUACUGAAGCAUGUCAGCCCUUUGGAGGAAGGCUGACUUUAUUAGAAGGAAAUUUACAAUGCAAAACAAGAUUAAUCCAAACACAAACGGCAAAACGUCAUACAACAAACCCCAAGCGAGCCAUCCAUUCACAUUCUAAUAUUAUCUGGGGCAAGAAGACCACCAUAAUUCUCCCAAUUGAUGUAAUGAAUAUAAUCUGACCAUAUAACAUAAAAAGAGUUAUUUGCGGUCUGAUUUGCACAAGACUGAAUAAUAUGAGAUAACUUUUGUGAUAUUGCAAUAUGACAUAGAUGCUUAUACCAGUUAUGCAUAUUGACAUGGUUUGAUUUUUCCUGUGCAUGGCUAUAGUUAACCUGGCCGCAGUUACCAUAAAACACCACUAGUUUUUUUGUGGGUUGUUUUUUUUUUUUUGGUUUUUGUUUUAAUGACACAUCUGUGUUGACCCCAGAAAAUAUAUUUACUAAUGCCAGCUGGGGGCAUAAACCUAUUUUCUGAUUUGUGAUUUUGCAAUGAUUAGUUACCCGUAGCAUGAAGAGAGAGAAGGAGGCUGCUAAACCUCUCCUCCUCCUCCGUGCUCCUGGUACACUUUCAAAGCUUGCAAAGAUUAAUUUUGAAGUGGGGGGUGACCCCCACCAGGGCAUAUAGUGCAAGACCAUCACGUUUUGCGCCUCACCUCAGGCACCACAAAGCUUUGGGCCACCCCUGGGCCGGCAAAACAGUCCACGUGGGCCAGAUCCAGUCCCUGGGCCUGUUGUGCCAGCCUGCUCAGAGGCAUUCUUAUCCCUGGACUUCUGGGCUGAAGUCCAGGGCCUGCACACUCCCUGGGGGCCUCCAAAUCCUCCAUAGUCUGUCCUGGGUGGUGCUGGCCUGCCACUGUGCCAAGUGGCUGAACGUGACCUCUGCUUUAGAGACAGAGAGGGGAGUGGGGAAAGAAAUAUGUGGGAAGGGAAUAUGUUAAAUUGUGUGUUGAAAUGCAUAUCGGCAUAAAUAUACCUGUUUUAUAUUCUUGCA
Molecule: long non-coding RNA, 1407 nt
Organism: Hemicordylus capensis (graceful crag lizard)
Lineage: Eukaryota; Metazoa; Chordata; Lepidosauria; Squamata; Cordylidae
Exons: 4
Source: RefSeq, a predicted model, not a curated record